This 254-nucleotide ribosomal RNA is filed under the name uncultured bacterium. Its description in RNAcentral is "partial 16S ribosomal RNA". It matches the Rfam family "Bacterial small subunit ribosomal RNA", at positions 524 to 776 of the family's 1533-position model. The record is from RNAcentral.
UACGUAGGGUGCGAGCGUUGUCCGGAAUUACUGGGCGUAAAGAGCUCGUAGGCGGUUUGUCGCGUCGUCUGUGAAAACCAGCAGCUCAACUGCUGGCUUGCAGGCGAUGCGGGCAGACUUGAGUACUGCAGGGGAGACUGGAAUUCCUGGUGUAGCGGUGAAAAUGCGCAGAUAUCAGGAAGAACACCGGUGGCGAAGGCGGGUCUCUGGGCAGUAACUGACGCUGAGGAGCGAAAGCGUGGGGAGCGAACAGG